AUUGAACGCUGGCGGCAGGCCUAACACAUGCAAGUCGAGCGAGCGGCGGACGGGUGAGUAAUGUAUGGGGACUGCCCGAUAGAGGGGGAUAACUACUGGAAAAGGUGGCCAAUACCGCAUACUAUCGGAUAACCCAUAUGGGAUUAGCUAGUAGGUGGGGUAAAGGCUCACCUAGGGGACGAUCUCUAGCUGGUCUGAGAGGAGGAUGAGCAACACUGGGACUGGGACACGGCCCAGACUCCUACGGAGGAAGCAGUGGGGAAUAUUGCACAAUGGGCGCAAGCCUGAUGCGGCCAUGCCGCGUGUAUGAAGAAGGCCUUAGGGUUGUAAAGUACUUUCAGCGGGGAGGCGUUACCCGCAGAAGAAGCACCGGCUAACUCCGUGCCAGCAGCCGCGGUAAUUC
Molecule: ribosomal RNA, 403 nt
Filed under: uncultured bacterium
Lineage: Bacteria
Description: partial 16S ribosomal RNA
Rfam family: Bacterial small subunit ribosomal RNA
Source: RNAcentral